UCCGGUUUGUCACCGGCAGUCCCACUAGAGUGCCCAACUGAAUGUAGCAACUAAUGGCAAGGGUUGCGCUCGUUGCGGGACUUAACCCAACAUCUCACGACACGAGCUGACGACAGCCAUGCAGCACCUGUGUUGCGGUUCCCUUUCGGGCACACCUCCAUCUCUGGAGGCUUCCGCACAUGUCAAGGGUAGGUAAGGUUUUUCGCGUUGCAUCGAAUUAAUCCACAUAAUCCACCGCUUGUGCGGGUCCCCGUCAAUUCCUUUGAGUUUUAGCCUUGCGGCCGUACUCCCCAGGCGGUCAACUUCACGCGUUAGCUUCGUUACCAAGGAAUUACUUCCCCGACAACCAGUUGACAUCGUUUAGGGCGUGGACUAC
Molecule: unclassified non-coding RNA, 376 nt
Filed under: uncultured Gammaproteobacteria bacterium
Lineage: Bacteria; Pseudomonadati; Pseudomonadota; Gammaproteobacteria
Description: contains 16S-23S intergenic spacer region
Source: RNAcentral